This 253-nucleotide ribosomal RNA is filed under the name uncultured bacterium. RNAcentral describes it as "partial 16S ribosomal RNA". It matches the Rfam family "Bacterial small subunit ribosomal RNA", at positions 524 to 776 of the family's 1533-position model. The record is from RNAcentral.
UACAGAGGGUGCGAGCGUUGUCCGGAAUUACUGGGCGUAAAGGGCGCGUAGGCGGCGACCCAAGUCAGAUGUGAAAGUCCUGGGCUUAACCUGGGGACUGCAUUUGAUACUGGGUUGCUUGAAUUCGGGAGAGGAUAGCGGAAUUCCCAGUGUAGAGGUGAAAUUCGUAGAUAUUGGGAAGAACACCGGUGGCGAAGGCGGCUAUCUGGACCGACAUUGACGCUGAGGCGCGAAAGCGUGGGGAGCAAACAGG